UUUGAAAUCCACUUUUAUAAU
RNAcentral lists this non-coding RNA (21 nucleotides) under Caenorhabditis elegans. Lineage: Eukaryota; Metazoa; Nematoda; Chromadorea; Rhabditida; Rhabditidae. The record is from RNAcentral.